This 355-nucleotide transfer-messenger RNA is filed under the name Sulfobacillus thermosulfidooxidans. It matches the Rfam family "transfer-messenger RNA". From Rfam's summary of the family: Bacterial tmRNA, also known as 10Sa RNA or SsrA, is named for its dual tRNA and mRNA-like properties. Its role is to liberate the mRNA from a stalled ribosome. RNAcentral also lists the same sequence under 2 other names. Lineage: Bacteria; Bacillati; Bacillota; Clostridia; Eubacteriales; Clostridiales Family XVII. Incertae Sedis. The record is from RNAcentral.
GGGGGCGAACUAGAUUCGACGGGGAUGAACGGGAUGUUGGAACGCGAGCCGAGGGCCUGAGCCUCGUUAAAAAGCAGGAAACCAUUAAGUGCCAAGAACAACGAAGAAAACUACGCUUUAGCUGCCUAAAUCCCAGCUAACGCCAAAGCCUCUGGUUCCUGCCCGGCGACUUUUGGCGUAAAAAAUGCAGGAUACCUGGUAUAGUGUCCGAUAUGCCAUGGGAAACUAGGACUGGUUUGGCAACGACCGCGCUGUGGCGAUCUUGUCAAAUGAGAUCAAUUCCACGGCUACGCUCGUAGGGGUCUAACAUGACGUAUCUUCGGACGGGACGGGCAGUACGUCCCCGCCUCCACCA